UGGUUUGUCGCGUCGUUUGUGUAAGCCCGCAGCUUAACUGCGGGACUGCAGGCGAUACGGGCAUAACUUGAGUGCUGUAGGGGAGACUGGAAUUCCUGGUGUAGCGGUGGAAUGCGCAGAUAUCAGGAGGAACACCGAUGGCGAAAGCAGGUCUCUGGGCAGUAACUGACGCUGAGGAGCGAAAGCAUGGGUAUCGAACAGGAUUAGAUACCCUGGUAGUCCAUGCCGUAAACGGUGGGCGCUAUGUGUGAGUCCCUUCCACGGGGUUCGUGCCGUAGCUAACGCAUUAAGCGCCCCGCCUGGGGAGUACGGCCGCAAGGAUAAAACUCAAAGGAAUUGACGGGGGCCCGCGCAAGCGGCGGAGCAUGUGGAUUAAUUCGAUGCAACGCGAAGAAACUUACCUGGGCUUGACAUACACCAGAUCGCCGUAGAGGUACGGUUUCCCUUUGUGGUUGGUGUACAGGUGGUGCAUGGUUGUCGUCAGCUCGUGUCGUGAGAUGUUGGGUUAAGUUCCCCGCAACGAGCGCAACCCUUGUCUUAUGUUGCCAGCAAUUUGGUUGGGGACUCGUGAGAGACUGCCGGGGUUAACCCGGAGGAAGGUGGGGAUGACGUCAAAUCAUCAUGCCCCUUAUGUCCAGGGCUUCACACAUGCUACAAUGGUCGGUACAACGCGUUUGCGAGCCUGUGAGGGUGAGCUAAUCGCUGAAAGCCGGUCGUAGUUCGGAUUGGGGUCUGCAACUCGACCCCAUGAAGUCGGAGUCGCUAGUAAUCGCAGAUC
Molecule: ribosomal RNA, 778 nt
Filed under: uncultured bacterium
Lineage: Bacteria
Description: bacterial SSU rRNA
Rfam family: Bacterial small subunit ribosomal RNA
Source: RNAcentral